GAGUCGACCCCUAAGGCGAGGCCGAGAGGCGUAGUCGAUGGGAAAUUGGUUAAUAUUCCAAUACUUCUGUGUAAUGCGAUGAGAGGACGGAGAAGGUUAAGUCAGCCUGGCGUUGGUUGUCCAGGUGGAAGACAGUAGGCAUGCAUCUUAGGCAAAUCCGGGGUGCUCUAUGCUGAGAGUCGAUAGCAAGCUGUACUUGUACAGUGAAGUGGCUGAUACCAUGCUUCCAGGAAAAGUCUCUAAGCUUCAGUUACACAGGAAUCGUACCCGAAACCGACACAGGUGGUCAGGUCGAGUAGACCAAAGCGCUUGAGAGAACUCUGCUGAAGGAACUAGGCAAAAUGGUACCGUAACUUCGGGAGAAGGUACGCUGCUGACGGUGAUGGGACUUGCUCCCUGAGCGGUUGGCAGCCGCAGAAACCAGGCCGCUGCAACUGUUUAUUAAAAACAUAGCACUCUGCAAACACGAAAGUGGACGUAUAGGGUGUGAUGCCUGCCCGGUGCUGGAAGGUUAAUUGAUGGGGUUAGCGUAAGCGAAGCUCUUGAUCGAAGCCCCAGUAAACGGCGGCCGUAACUAUAACGGUCCUAAGGUAGCGAAAUUCCUUGUCGGGUAAGUUCCGACCUGCACGAAUGGCAUAAUGAUGGCGGCGCUGUCUCCAGCAGAGGCUCAGUGAAAUCGAAAUCGCUGUGAAGAUGCAGUGUACCCGCGGCUAGACGGAAAGACCCCGUGAACCUUUACUGCAGCUUGACAUUGAACUUUGACCUUACUUGUGUAGGAUAGGUGGGAGGCUUUGAAGUUGGAACGCUAGUUCCAAUGGAGCCGUCCUUGAAAUACCACCCUGGUAAUGUUGAGGUUCUAACUCUGCCCCGUAAUCCGGGGCGAGGACCAUGUCUGGUGGGUAGUUUGACUGGGGCGGUCUCCUCCUAAAGAGUAACGGAGGAGUACGAAGGUGCGCUCAGCGUGGUCGGAAAUCACGCGUAGAGUAUAAAGGCAAAAGCGCGCUUAACUGCGAGACCCACAAGUCGAGCAGGUACGAAAGUAGGUCUUAGUGAUCCGGUGGUUCUGUAUGGAAGGGCCAUCGCUCAACGGAUAAAAGGUACUCUGGGGAUAACAGGCUGAUACCGCCCAAGAGUUCAUAUCGACGGCGGUGUUUGGCACCUCGAUGUCGGCUCAUCUCAUCCUGGGGCUGAAGCAGGUCCCAAGGGUAUGGCUGUUCGCCAUUUAAAGAGGUACGCGAGCUGGGUUUAGAACGUCGUGAGACAGUUCGGUCCCUAUCUACCGUGGGCGCUGGAAAUUUGAGAGGAUCUGCUCCUAGUACGAGAGGACCAGAGUGGACGAACCUCUGGUGUACCGGUUGUGACGCCAGUCGCAUCGCCGGGUAGCUAUGUUCGGAAGGGAUAACCGCUGAAAGCAUCUAAGCGGGAAGCCUACCUCAAGAUAAGAUUUCCCUAGGAAUUUAUUCCUCUAAAGAGCCGUUCGAGACUAGGACGUUGAUAGGUUGGGUGUGGAAGUACGGUGACGUAUGAAGCUGACCAAUACUAAUUGCUCGUGAGGCUUGACUAU
RNAcentral lists this ribosomal RNA (1564 nucleotides) under Acinetobacter venetianus RAG-1 = CIP 110063. RNAcentral describes it as "bacterial LSU rRNA". It matches the Rfam family "Bacterial large subunit ribosomal RNA", at positions 1379 to 2925 of the family's 2925-position model. The record is from RNAcentral. Lineage: Bacteria; Pseudomonadati; Pseudomonadota; Gammaproteobacteria; Moraxellales; Moraxellaceae.